AGAGUUUGAUCAUGGCUCAGAUUGAACGCUGGCGGCAGGCCUAACACAUGCAAGUCGAGCGGUAGCACAGAGAGCUUGCUCUCGGGUGACGAGCGGCGGACGGGUGAGUAAUGUCUGGGAAACUGCCUGAUGGAGGGGGAUAACUACUGGAAACGGUAGCUAAUACCGCAUAAUGUCGCAAGACCAAAGUGGGGGACCUUCGGGCCUCAUGCCAUCAGAUGUGCCCAGAUGGGAUUAGCUAGUAGGUGGGGUAAUGGCUCACCUAGGCGACGAUCCCUAGCUGGUCUGAGAGGAUGACCAGCCACACUGGAACUGAGACACGGUCCAGACUCCUACGGGAGGCAGCAGUGGGGAAUAUUGCACAAUGGGCGCAAGCCUGAUGCAGCCAUGCCGCGUGUGUGAAGAAGGCCUUCGGGUUGUAAAGCACUUUCAGCGGGGAGGAAGGCGAUAAGGUUAAUAACCUUGUCGAUUGACGUUACCCGCAGAAGAAGCACCGGCUAACUCCGUGCCAGCAGCCGCGGUAAUACGGAGGGUGCAAGCGUUAAUCGGAAUUACUGGGCGUAAAGCGCACGCAGGCGGUCUGUCAAGUCGGAUGUGAAAUCCCCGGGCUCAACCUGGGAACUGCAUUCGAAACUGGCAGGCUAGAGUCUUGUAGAGGGGGGUAGAAUUCCAGGUGUAGCGGUGAAAUGCGUAGAGAUCUGGAGGAAUACCGGUGGCGAAGGCGGCCCCCUGGACAAAGACUGACGCUCAGGUGCGAAAGCGUGGGGAGCAAACAGGAUUAGAUACCCUGGUAGUCCACGCCGUAAACGAUGUCGAUUUGGAGGUUGUGCCCUUGAGGCGUGGCUUCCGGAGCUAACGCGUUAAAUCGACCGCCUGGGGAGUACGGCCGCAAGGUUAAAACUCAAAUGAAUUGACGGGGGCCCGCACAAGCGGUGGAGCAUGUGGUUUAAUUCGAUGCAACGCGAAGAACCUUACCUGGUCUUGACAUCCACAGAACUUAGCAGAGAUGCUUUGGUGCCUUCGGGAACUGUGAGACAGGUGCUGCAUGGCUGUCGUCAGCUCGUGUUGUGAAAUGUUGGGUUAAGUCCCGCAACGAGCGCAACCCUUAUCCUUUGUUGCCAGCGGUCCGGCCGGGAACUCAAAGGAGACUGCCAGUGAUAAACUGGAGGAAGGUGGGGAUGACGUCAAGUCAUCAUGGCCCUUACGACCAGGGCUACACACGUGCUACAAUGGCAUAUACAAAGAGAAGCGACCUCGCGAGAGCAAGCGGACCUCAUAAAGUAUGUCGUAGUCCGGAUUGGAGUCUGCAACUCGACUCCAUGAAGUCGGAAUCGCUAGUAAUCGUAGAUCAGAAUGCUACGGUGAAUACGUUCCCGGGCCUUGUACACACCGCCCGUCACACCAUGGGAGUGGGUUGCAAAAGAAGUAGGUAGCUUAACCUUCGGGAGGGCGCUUACCACUUUGUGAUUCAUGACUGGGGUGAAGUCGUAACAAGGUAACCGUAGGGGAACCUGCGGUUGGAUCACCU
Molecule: ribosomal RNA, 1528 nt
Filed under: Klebsiella pneumoniae
Lineage: Bacteria; Pseudomonadati; Pseudomonadota; Gammaproteobacteria; Enterobacterales; Enterobacteriaceae
Also listed under: 1 other name
Description: bacterial SSU rRNA
Rfam family: Bacterial small subunit ribosomal RNA
Source: RNAcentral